UACGUAGGUGGCGAGCGUUGUCUGGAAUUACUGGGCGUAAAGGGCGCGUAGGCGGUUUUUUAAGUUAGAUGUGAAAACCCAGGGCUUAACUUUGGGCGUGCAUUUAAAACUGGAGAGCUUGAGUGCAGGAGAGGUAAGUGGAAUUCCUAGUGUAGCGGUGAAAUGCGUAGAUAUUAGGAGGAACACCAGUGGCGAAGGCGACUUACUGGACUGUAACUGACGCUGAGGCGCGAAAGCGUGGGGAGCAAACAGGAUUAGAUACCCUGGUAGUCCCUGAG
This 278-nucleotide ribosomal RNA is filed under the name uncultured prokaryote. RNAcentral's name for it is "partial 16S ribosomal RNA". It matches the Rfam family "Bacterial small subunit ribosomal RNA", at positions 524 to 801 of the family's 1533-position model. The record is from RNAcentral.